GCUCUGGUGCUGGCGGACCUCGGGUCGCGCAGUCAGGUAGCUGCCCGCUGGCGUCGGGCGGGUGCCGCCCUUGAACCUCUUUGUUCAUACACUGUCCUGCGGCCCGGACGGUGUCUUGACGCUGCAUGCCGGUCUUUGUCCUGCCGGAGGCACUGAGGACUGGCGGCUCCCGGGGCCUCAGGCCGAAGUUGUGCGAGCGCGGCCCAGGCGGGUGGCCCUGAGGCCGGGAGCCUCGCCUGGGCCGGAAACGGGGACAGCGGGGGGCUCCUGCACAGGGGACCCGCCGCGCGCUUCCCCGCCACGUUUGGGGAGGGAGCGGGGACGUCCUGGCGUUCGACCCUCGCCUCCGUAUCGGGACGGCGCGGCCCCAGUCAGCGCUGAGCACUUCUCGGCCGGGUGUUCUGACCGUCACCAUUGUUGCUCUGGACUACUCUUCAGCUGAAAGUUGUUUCAGGCAGGUUUGCUAGUCCGGAAUUGGGUGGGAGAGAAUUCCAAGGAGAGAGAGGAAAGGCAGAGGCAAUGGCAGUGAGGGAGCAGGAUGCUUCAGAGGAAUUCCAGUGGCUGCUGUGGAUACAUGGUGGCGGGGACAGGGGAACAGGUGCCACCUGAUCGUGCAGGUCCCUGUCGUCAUAUUCAGGAGUUUGGACUCUGCAGUCCACAAUCUCAGUCUUAUUUCUGCAGCUGCUCUAAGAUGGCGAAACUCACCUUCAGGACAUGCUCCCUUGGGCUAGGAGAUCAGGUGGGCUCCGGGUGAUGCGCAAGUCCACCCCUCUAGCUGCAGUUCCGCCUUUUUCUCUACAACCAAGCAAACAUUUUGGCAGGCACGUGUGAGUGACGACCUUGAAACCAAUCUGAUUUAUUUUUCUGAAAAGUAAGUUAUUGACAAAUGUCAAUUUUUAAUAUCAACUUAUUUAGGAUGUAUCUCCAAACCUAUCCUUACACACAGUAUGUCUCAGCAAGGCAGCUAUAAGCCCUGGUGAGCUAAUGAGUCUUCCAUCAGGAAAGUAAAAUGGUCAAAUAUUGUUCUAGGAAAAACAUUCUAUUGAUUUUCUUCAGAAUCUCUAGCAAAGCACUUGAUCAGGUACUCAGAAAACAUUACCAAAUUGAAGUGGCACCACGUAUGCAUUAAAGGAUUUGGGAAGGAAUCUCGAUUCAGCAUACAAGGCUUACGUUUCCUGAUGGGCUUUUCUUUAAGUAAAAUCAACAAAUGGUGUUCAGCACCUAUUGCUGAUUAGUGCUGUGGGGUGACACCAAGCAGUAUGUGAAAUGACCUCUAGUCUUAAGGAGUGCUCAUCGUGGUUGGGGACAUAAACUAACAUACUUUAAAUACUAGGCAACAAGUGAAACAUAUUGUAAGGAGUAAGGGUUGUAAUGUUUCUGUCCCCCGCCCCCCCCAAGUUCAUAGGUUGAAAUUAAUCCCAGCGUGAUGGUCUUUGGAGGUGGGGCCUUUGGGAAGUGAAUAAAUCAUGAGGGUGGAGCCUCAUGAAUGGGAAUAGUGCCAUAACGAGGCCAGAGAGCUCUCUUGCCCACUUUCCACCGUGUGAGGAUACAGUGAGAAGAUGGCCUGCAACCCAGAAGAGAGGCCUCACCAGAACCUAACCAUGCUGGUGCCUGAUCUGAGACCUCAGCGCCUCCAGAGCUAUGAGAAAUGAAUUUCUAAACCCAGUCUAUGGUACUUUGCUGUAGCAGUCUGAACAGUCUAAGACAGGGAUGAAAAAGCUUCAAGGAGCAAGUUUGUGAACUGAGCCUGGAAGGAGGAGUAGGAUCUGACAAAGGGUUAGAAGAGGAAGGACUCCAAGCAGAAGGAGCAAACCUAGGAAAGAGACUGAGGGAAAAAUUCAGGAGACCAAACUCUCAUGCGCAGGAGGUUCAUGCUGAGGGGAGCAGGAAGCAGAGCUGGACUGGGGAGGCCUUGAAGGCAGGCAGAGCAAGGAGCCCCACCAGGUGACUGCUCAUUGGCCUCCCAGAUGGAUUCGAUGGUAUCGCUCAGAUGAUGGAACAAAAAAGAAAAAGAGAAAACACAAAUGUGACAUGUGAAAAAUAGGAAUGAAAGAGAAAGAUAAAAGAGAAGGAAAAUCUUCCCAGGUCUAGAAGAUACAUUCUCGUAUCGAAAGGGCCCAGCAGGUGCCCAGCACAACAAACCUAGGAAGACCAACACCAAGGCACAUCGCCACAGCAUUCAGAACACCAAGGAUAAAGAAAAGAUCUUCAGAGUUUCCUGAAGGAAAAAUGAAAAGGUCACAUUUAAAGGACUGGAAAUCAGAAUGGCAUGGAAAUUCUCCACAGAAUCCCAGGAAGCUGGAAUACAAUAGGGCAUUAACUUCAAAAUUCUGAAGAAAAUAAUUCUAACAUAGAAUUCAACUCUCACUAUAUUAGCUGUUUGUGGGUAGGAUGUAGAUAUUUUCAGAUAUCCUUAUCUCAGAAAGCUACUGGAGGAUAUUCUUCUCCAAAAUUAAGAAAUUAGCCAAGAAAGAGGAUAAUAUUUGGGACCUAAAAAACAGGAAGUCCCAGCUUAGGAGAGAGGAGAAGGGAAGUACUAGGACAGAAGCUAGGACUUAUACAGUAGGGGAUAGAGGCCUCUAGGAGAGAUGUUUCCAGAAGGAAGUGAAUCACAUGGAAUGCCUGUUAUGGAUGAAUAUCUUAAAAGGGAUCUUCAGAAUUUGAUGAUGAUAAGUAAUAGCUAGAUAGGAAAGUGAAUAAGGAAAUAAAUGAGGCCAUUAUUGAAUCUAGUGAAAACAAUAUGCAAAAAAGGAUAUAGCAUAUGUCUUGGCUGUGAAUAAAUAUGUAAUUAUAACAAGAUAAUUGCUGAAUGGGAGUUUAACCCAAAGGGGUGUUAUAAUUAUUUUUGAAAAAAGGGAGGUGACCUUACGUGUGUUUACAUAAAUGUGCAUGUGUCUAGGAAGUGAGGGUGGGAGAGUUAAAUCCUUGUCUUCUAGAGUUAGGAAGUCCAUAGACUAUACGCACAAUUGAAAAGUAAGGACAGAACAUUAAAUAUGUGUUCUUAGAAAAUAUGAGCAUAAGGCCGGGCACAUUGGCUCAUGCCUGUAAUGCCAGCACUUUGGGGGGCCAAGGUAAGAGGACUCUGUGAGCCCAGGAGUUGGAGACCAGCCUGGGCAACAUAGUGAGACCUCAUCUCUACAAAACAUUUUUAAAAAUUGGCCAGGCAUGGUGGCAUGCACCUGUAGUCCCAGCUACUUAGGAGGCUGAGGUGGGAGGAUCAUAUGAGCCCCAGAGUUUCAGUCUGCAGUGAGCUGGGAUUGUGCCACCACACUCCAGCCUGGGUGACAGAGUAGGACGCUGUCUCACACACAAAAAAAGGAAAAGAAAGUAGAGUAAAUUCUCUCAUAUACAAAAGAAAUAUAUAAGAGAUAAAUGUAAGAGAAGGAAUUGGGAGUGGGAGUGUGUGGUGUGGGCAACUACUAUUUUUGUUAACAAAUCUAGAAAUACCAUUUGAAUUUUAAGAUUAUAAAUAUUUGAUAUAAGGAAAAAUUUUUAAGUUUUAAAAAGUUAUUCACUAAUACAAGUGGUAGUAAGUGGCACGACUGUCACUCAAAUUCCAAUCUGUCUAAAUCUUGAAGCUUUAAAAAAUUGUUAUGACUACAGUACACUACAGCAAAGGGAAGGAAAAGUCAAAUAUUACUUCAAGGUCUCUUUCCUGGGAGACUACAAGAAAAGUUGCAUGCAGAAAUCAGUGUAACAAGAGCAAGAAGAGUUACGUAGGAUUAUCCACAUCCUGCUUCACCUCCUGCUUCAUAGCUCAGGCAAGCACUUCCCUGUGCUCUGCUGUGCACAGCCAGUUUAUCAGUGUGGGAAAAAAUCUAUAAAUAGGAUGGAGGUUUACAUAAAAGAGAAACAUAGGAAAAGAAAGGGGAAUAAAAAAGAAACUGUAGAGCGAAUUUGGGGGUUAAUGCAGAGGAAAAAGCUAAAGUGAGAGACAUCACAUCAGCUGUGAGAGAGAAACCCAGAAAAUGAAUGGCAGGGGCAUCUGGGACAGGUUUCUCUUGGUAACAAGUUGACCCUUUAAAUAGACUGCAAGAUGUAUUUGCAGUUUUUAUUUGGAUGCUGAAUGAAAUUUCUUUUGAGUAUAACAACCACAUGAGCUCAAGAUUUUAUUUGGGCAAUGAUAUGGUUUGGCUGUGUCCCCACCCAAAUCUCAUCUUGAACUGUAGUUCCUAUAAUCUCCACAUGUCAUGGGAAGGACCUGGUGGGAGGUAAUUGAAUCAUGGGGGCGGUUACCUCCAUGCUGUUCUCUUGAUAGUGAUUGAGUUCUCAUGAGACCUGAUGGUUUUAUAAGGGGCUUUUCCCCUGCGUCACUCCACAUUUCUCCUUGCUGCUGCCAGGUGAAGAAGGACUUGUUUGCUUCCCCUUCCAACACGAUUGUAAGUUUCCUGAGGCCUCCCUAACCAUGCUGAACUGUGAGUCAAUUAAACCUCUUUCCUUUAUAAAUCACCCAGUCUCAGGUAUGUCUUUAUUAGCAGUGUGAGAAUGGACUAAUACAGCAAAUUGGUACCAGGUAGUGAGGUGCUGUUGUAAAGAUACCCAAAAAUGUGGAAGUGACUUUGGAAUGGGGUAACAGGCAGAGGUUGGAACAGUUGGGAGGGCUCAGUAGAAGAUAGGAAAAUGUGGGAAAGUUUGAAACCUCCUAGAGACUUGGAGGGCUCAGAAGAUAGGAACAGGUGGGAAAGUUUAGAGCUUCUUAGAGACUUGUUGAAUGGCUUUGACCAAAAUGCUGUUAGUGAUAUGGACAAUGAAGUCCAGGCUGAGAUGGUCUUAGAUGGAGAUGAGGAAGUUGUUGGGAACUGGAGUAAAGGUCACUCUUGCUAUGCUUUAGCAAAGAGAAUGGCAACAUUUUGCCCUUGCCUUAGAGAUCUGUGGAACUUUGCACUUGAGAGAGAUGAUUUAGGGUAUCUGGUGGAAGAAAUUUCUAGACAGCAAAGCAUUCAAGAGGAAGCAGAGCAUAAAAGUUUGAAAAAUUUGCAGGCUGGCAAUGCAAUAGAUUAAAAAAACCCAUUUUCUGGGGGAGAAAUUCAAGUUGGCAACAAAUUUGCAUAAGCAAUGAGAAGAAGAAUGUUAAUCACUAAAACAGUGGGGAAA
RNAcentral lists this long non-coding RNA (5094 nucleotides) under Homo sapiens (human). RNAcentral describes it as "non-protein coding lnc-PSMB1-6:3". Lineage: Eukaryota; Metazoa; Chordata; Mammalia; Primates; Hominidae. The record is from RNAcentral.